RNAcentral lists this ribosomal RNA (253 nucleotides) under uncultured bacterium. RNAcentral describes it as "partial 16S ribosomal RNA". It matches the Rfam family "Bacterial small subunit ribosomal RNA", at positions 524 to 776 of the family's 1533-position model. The record is from RNAcentral.
UACGGAGGGGGCUAGCGUUGUUCGGAAUUACUGGGCGUAAAGCGCGCGUAGGCGGACCUGCAAGUCGGGGGUGAAAGCCCGAGGCUCAACCUCGGAACUGCCUUCGAUACUGCGGGUCUCGAGUCCGGGAGAGGUGAGUGGAACUGCGAGUGUAGAGGUGAAAUUCGUAGAUAUUCGCAAGAACACCAGUGGCGAAGGCGGCUCACUGGCCCGGUACUGACGCUGAGGUGCGAAAGCGUGGGGAGCGAACAGG